RNAcentral lists this ribosomal RNA (407 nucleotides) under uncultured bacterium. Its description in RNAcentral is "bacterial SSU rRNA". It matches the Rfam family "Bacterial small subunit ribosomal RNA", at positions 355 to 774 of the family's 1533-position model. The record is from RNAcentral.
UGGGGAAUAUUGCACAAUGGGCGCAAGCCUGAUGCAGCAACGCCGCGUGAGGGACGACGGCCUUCGGGUUGUAAACCUCUUUUGGCAGGGAAGAAGCGAAAGUGGCGGUACCUGCAGAAAAAGCACCGGCUAACUACGUGCCAGCAGCCGCGGUGAUACGUAGGGUGCAAGCGUUGUCCGGAAUUAUUGGGCGUAAAGAGCUCGUAGGCGGUUUGUCGCGUCUGCUGAGAAAACCCGAGGCUCAACCUCGGGCCUGCAGUGGGUACGGGCAAACUAGAGUGCGGUAGGGGAGAUUGGAAUUCCUGGUGUAGCGGUGGAAUGCGCAGAUAUCAGGAGGAACACCGAUGGCGAAGGCAGAUCUCUGGGCCGUAACUGACGCUGAGGAGCGAAAGCAUGGGGAGCGAACA